AGAGUUUGAUCAUGGCUCAGGAUGAACGCUAGCGGCAGGCCUAAUACAUGCAAGACGAACGGUAAGUUGAGUAGCAAUACUUGACCAAGAGUGUCGUAAGGGUGCGUAACACGUAUGCAAUCUGCCCUCAACAGGAGGAUAGCUCCCCGAAAGGGGAAUUAAUACUGCGUAAGAUUGUAGUUCGGCAUCGGACAGCAAUUAAAACCGAGGUGGUUGAGGAUGAGCAUGCGCAUGAUUAGUUAGUUGGCGGGGUAACGGCCCACCAAGACGAUGAUCAUUAGGGGAACUGAGAGGUUGAUCCCCCACACUGGCACUGAGAUACGGGCCAGACUCCUACGGGAGGCAGCAGUAGGGAAUAUUGGACAAUGGGUGCGAGCCUGAUCCAGCCAUGCCGCGUGCAGGAAGACGGCCUUCUGGGUUGUAAACUGCUUUUGCCAGGGGAUAAAAAGUCCCUGCGGGGAAAAUUGAAGGUACCUGGUGAAUAAGCCACGGCUAACUACGUGCCAGCAGCCGCGGUAAUAC
This 522-nucleotide ribosomal RNA is filed under the name uncultured Flexibacteraceae bacterium. RNAcentral describes it as "bacterial SSU rRNA". It matches the Rfam family "Bacterial small subunit ribosomal RNA", at positions 8 to 526 of the family's 1533-position model. The record is from RNAcentral. Lineage: Bacteria; Pseudomonadati; Bacteroidota; Cytophagia; Cytophagales; Cytophagaceae.